CUGGUCCUUUUUUCUCUCCUAUAGUAUGGCAACUUCCUGUAGCCUUGACUGCAAAUGGGUAAAUAAUCACAAUUUGGACUAAGAAGGUGAUAAAGACCAUAGUGAUGAUCCUUACAGAGACUACAGUGUUGGUAUUGGCUAUGGAACUCAGAGUUUUAAAGUUAUACACCAGCUCUUCUGCUUCUUUGGAAAGGUGGCACUAGUGUCAAGCAGAAAAAGGGCAGCAGAAGGAAUGUCUUCACUCGCAGUGUCCAGUGAUGAUGAAAUCACAGACCAAGUCCAGUCCUAAAAAUUUGUAGAGCCUCAAAAAGCCCCUUCCUCGAUCCUUAGUAUUCUUUUCGGAAGGUGAAAGCUGUUGGAGACUAGCAGGUAAACCUGAGAAGAAGUGUAGGUUUAAGGCCAAACCUCUGGGCAUCAUGGAAACGACCAUCAGAACAGGAAAGAAGAGUGAAAUAUGCUCAUAUACAGUGUCAACAAUGCAAAUAACAAGAACAGUUCAAUCAACUGAAUCCUAUAAAAGGCCCUAAAGAAGAGAUAUGAGAAUGCAUCUCCCUGCCUUCUUUGCAAAGGUAGGAGUCGUGGAUGCAGUACAAUGCACUUAAUGUUGUACUAGGUUGAUGUAGAGCUAAUUUUGCCAAACUUUCCCUUUUUUAUAAUAAAUAUAAGAGAAAGAGCCCUCUGGGAAUGGAA
RNAcentral lists this long non-coding RNA (690 nucleotides) under Monodelphis domestica (gray short-tailed opossum). RNAcentral's name for it is "lncRNA (ENSMODG00000048783.1)". The record is from RNAcentral. Lineage: Eukaryota; Metazoa; Chordata; Mammalia; Didelphimorphia; Didelphidae.